Long non-coding RNA from Bos taurus (domestic cattle), 560 nucleotides. NCBI's taxonomy places the organism in Eukaryota, Metazoa, Chordata, Mammalia, Artiodactyla, Bovidae. The record is from Ensembl.
GCCGGGAGGAGGGGAGUGAUGCCUGAGGGCCUGGGGCUGGGGAGGGGCACAGCCGGGCCCCAGGGCAGGGUCUGGCAGGGACUGGGGAAGGGCCCUGAGUUGGGUCAAGGCUGGAGAGAAGCCAGGCCUGCCCACUGGUCUGGAAGGGAGGCCCUUGAGGGCUGCAGUGGCCUGGUGCCCAGGCCAUAUCACCGGGUACCUGGCCAGGGGAGACCCCCGAUUCAGUCUCUGACUCACAGAACUCAGCAGGGGUUCCCAGAGCAGGUAUCGAACCACACUGGAAGGCGGAUUCUUAAUCACUGGACCACCAGGGAAGUCUCGAGUCCCCUUUCUGACCGGGCUGUAACCCAGCGUUCACCAACCCCGCUGACCUGGAGUUUCUGUUAAGGGAAAGAAAGAAGCAUUAUGUCCAGGAAUGGUGAACGGUGAGCCCUAAAAUUCCAAAGCUGGUCUAUAUAAACCCCACCCCUCUCAUCUUGAUCAUUAUGAAGGACAUGGCCUAGAGGAGGUGGUCCCAUAGUGACUAAACCGCUGUACUGAGGUAUGUGGACCAGGAGGAG